GGGUCGAUGGCGUAGUUGGUUAUCGCAUCUGUCUAACACACAGAAGGUCCUCAGUUCGAGCCUGGGUCAACUCA
Molecule: transfer RNA, 74 nt
Filed under: Cyathus striatus
Lineage: Eukaryota; Fungi; Basidiomycota; Agaricomycetes; Agaricales; Nidulariaceae
Also listed under: 6 other names
Description: tRNA-Val
Rfam family: tRNA
About the family: Transfer RNA (tRNA) molecules are approximately 80 nucleotides in length. Their secondary structure includes four short double-helical elements and three loops (D, anti-codon, and T loops).
Source: RNAcentral